This 107-nucleotide small nuclear RNA is filed under the name Physeter macrocephalus (sperm whale). The record is from RNAcentral. Lineage: Eukaryota; Metazoa; Chordata; Mammalia; Artiodactyla; Physeteridae.
GUGCUCGCUUUGGCAGCACAUAUACUAAAAUUGGAACGAUAGAGAGAAGAUUAGCCUGGCCCCUGCACAAGGAUGACAAGCAAAUCUGUGAAGCGUUCCAAAUUUUA